AUUGACCUCGGAUCAGGUGAGGAUACCCGCUGAA
This 34-nucleotide ribosomal RNA is filed under the name Peltigera scabrosa. Its description in RNAcentral is "partial 28S ribosomal RNA". Lineage: Eukaryota; Fungi; Ascomycota; Lecanoromycetes; Peltigerales; Peltigeraceae. The record is from RNAcentral.